AGUGUCUCGUUUGCAGUCGGCGCGUUAGGGGAACUGUCUUCCUCCGCAGGCGCGAGGCUGGGUACAGGGUCUAUUGUCUGUGGUUGACUCCGUACUUUGGUCUGAGGCCGUCGGGAGCUUUCCCGAGGCAGUUAGCAGAAGCCGCAGCGGCCGCCCCCGCCCGUCUCCUCUGUCCCUGGGCCCGGGAGGGACCAACUUCGCGUCACGCCCCUCAGCGGUGGCCACUCUCUUCUCUGUCGUUGGGUCCGCAUCGUAUUCCCGGAAUCAGACGGUGCCCCAUAGAUGGCCAGCUUUCCCCCGAGGGUCAACGAGAAAGAGAUCGUGAGAUCACGUACUAUAGGUGAACUUUUAGCUCCUGCAGCUCCUUUUGACAAGAAAUGUGGUCGUGAAAAUUGGACUGUUGCUUUUGCUCCAGAUGGUUCAUACUUUGCUUGGUCACAAGGACAUCGCACAGUAAAGCUUGUUCCGUGGUCCCAGUGCCUUCAGAACUUGUAAGACUGUUACUUUUCUGUAUUUUGUAUCUGUUUGUGGAAUUUACCAUUUU
Molecule: small RNA, 544 nt
Filed under: Pan troglodytes (chimpanzee)
Lineage: Eukaryota; Metazoa; Chordata; Mammalia; Primates; Hominidae
Description: retained intron
Source: RNAcentral